RNAcentral lists this ribosomal RNA (1530 nucleotides) under Escherichia coli 2-156-04_S3_C2. RNAcentral describes it as "bacterial SSU rRNA". It matches the Rfam family "Bacterial small subunit ribosomal RNA". Lineage: Bacteria; Pseudomonadati; Pseudomonadota; Gammaproteobacteria; Enterobacterales; Enterobacteriaceae. The record is from RNAcentral.
AGAGUUUGAUCAUGGCUCAGAUUGAACGCUGGCGGCAGGCCUAACACAUGCAAGUCGAACGGUAACAGGAAUCAGCUUGCUGAUUCGCUGACGAGUGGCGGACGGGUGAGUAAUGUCUGGGAAACUGCCUGAUGGAGGGGGAUAACUACUGGAAACGGUAGCUAAUACCGCAUAACGUCGCAAGACCAAAGAGGGGGACCUUCGGGCCUCUUGCCAUCGGAUGUGCCCAGAUGGGAUUAGCUAGUAGGUGGGGUAACGGCUCACCUAGGCGACGAUCCCUAGCUGGUCUGAGAGGAUGACCAGCCACACUGGAACUGAGACACGGUCCAGACUCCUACGGGAGGCAGCAGUGGGGAAUAUUGCACAAUGGGCGCAAGCCUGAUGCAGCCAUGCCGCGUGUAUGAAGAAGGCCUUCGGGUUGUAAAGUACUUUCAGCGGGGAGGAAGGGAGUAAAGUUAAUACCUUUGCUCAUUGACGUUACCCGCAGAAGAAGCACCGGCUAACUCCGUGCCAGCAGCCGCGGUAAUACGGAGGGUGCAAGCGUUAAUCGGAAUUACUGGGCGUAAAGCGCACGCAGGCGGUUUGUUAAGUCAGAUGUGAAAUCCCCGGGCUCAACCUGGGAACUGCAUCUGAUACUGGCAAGCUUGAGUCUCGUAGAGGGGGGUAGAAUUCCAGGUGUAGCGGUGAAAUGCGUAGAGAUCUGGAGGAAUACCGGUGGCGAAGGCGGCCCCCUGGACGAAGACUGACGCUCAGGUGCGAAAGCGUGGGGAGCAAACAGGAUUAGAUACCCUGGUAGUCCACGCCGUAAACGAUGUCGACUUGGAGGUUGUGCCCUUGAGGCGUGGCUUCCGGAGCUAACGCGUUAAGUCGACCGCCUGGGGAGUACGGCCGCAAGGUUAAAACUCAAAUGAAUUGACGGGGGCCCGCACAAGCGGUGGAGCAUGUGGUUUAAUUCGAUGCAACGCGAAGAACCUUACCUGGUCUUGACAUCCACGGAAGUUUUCAGAGAUGAGAAUGUGCCUUCGGGAACCGUGAGACAGGUGCUGCAUGGCUGUCGUCAGCUCGUGUUGUGAAAUGUUGGGUUAAGUCCCGCAACGAGCGCAACCCUUAUCCUUUGUUGCCAGCGGUCCGGCCGGGAACUCAAAGGAGACUGCCAGUGAUAAACUGGAGGAAGGUAGGGAUGACGUCAAGUCAUCAUGGCCCUUACGACCAGGGCUACACACGUGCUACAAUGGCGCAUACAAAGAGAAGCGACCUCGCGAGAGCAAGCGGACCUCAUAAAGUGCGUCGUAGUCCGGAUUGGAGUCUGCAACUCGACUCCAUGAAGUCGGAAUCGCUAGUAAUCGUGGAUCAGAAUGCCACGGUGAAUACGUUCCCGGGCCUUGUACACACCGCCCGUCACACCAUGGGAGUGGGUUGCAAAAGAAGUAGGUAGCUUAACCUUCGGGAGGGCGCUUACCACUUUGUGAUUCAUGACUGGGGUGAAGUCGUAACAAGGUAACCGUAGGGGAACCUGCGGUUGGAUCACCU